Amphibalanus amphitrite is the source of this 269-nucleotide long non-coding RNA. RefSeq lists it as uncharacterized. The transcript has 4 exons. NCBI's taxonomy places the organism in Eukaryota, Metazoa, Arthropoda, Thecostraca, Balanomorpha, Balanidae. The record is from RefSeq and is a predicted model, not a curated record.
AGAACCAGGGACGAGGCUCAAAUCUGGAGACAUCGUGCGAUGAAAGCUGCAGACUUGAACAGUGCAAUAAAGGAUGCGCCGGGAGAAAUCGCUCCCUCGAGUCAUCUUGUAAACAGUUUUGUAUGGACGAGGGGCCGUCAUCGCAGCAGGGAGAGCGCUGGUACUGCGUCAUCGGCUGUAACAUCGCCGUCAGUCGAUACGUUCAGCAGCUCAGAGAGGAGCUCCAGCUGGGCGCUCCGACUCUGGUGCCGGACUCGCUGACGGCCGAC